This 459-nucleotide ribosomal RNA is filed under the name uncultured bacterium. RNAcentral describes it as "partial 16S ribosomal RNA". It matches the Rfam family "Bacterial small subunit ribosomal RNA", at positions 338 to 795 of the family's 1533-position model. The record is from RNAcentral.
CCUACGGGGGGCUGCAGUGAGGAAUAUUGGUCAAUGGCCGGAAGGCUGAACCAGCCAAGCCGCGUGAAGGACGAAGGUGCCACGCAUUGUAAACUUCUUUUGUCAAGGGACAAAAUCAGGCUCGAGAGCCUGACCGUGUGUACUUGAUGAACAAGCAUCGGCUAACUCCGUGCCAGCAGCCGCGGUAAUACGGAGGAUGCGAGCGUUAUCCGGAUUUAUGGGGUUUAAGGGGGGCGUAGGCGGACUGUUAAGUCUGCGGUAAAAGCCCGGGGCUAAACCCCGGCGUGCCGUUGAAACUGGCGGUCUUGAGAUGUCGAGGGGUAGGCGGAAUGCGCAGUGUAGCGGUGAAAUGCUUAGAUAUUGCGAAGAACUCCGAUUGCGAAGGCAACAUACCGGGGGGGAUCUGACGCUGAGGCACGAAAGCGUGGGUAUCGAACAGGAUUAGAUACCCUUGUAGUC